Molecule: long non-coding RNA, 2077 nt
Filed under: Pogona vitticeps (central bearded dragon)
Lineage: Eukaryota; Metazoa; Chordata; Lepidosauria; Squamata; Agamidae
Description: lncRNA (ENSPVIG00000019774.1)
Source: RNAcentral
GGGGGAGAGAGUGUCGGCUUCCCCGAAAUAAACGCCUCCAGAGGGGAGGCGUCAUCCCGGAACGCAGCAGGAGGAGGCCGAACCAGGGUCGGGAGCUCGCCCCGGAGGCCAGCGACCCUUGGGCGGAUCAAGGCAGGCUGCCCUCGGCAGGUUCCCCUGCGUCUGUCCGUCCGUCCGUCCGUCUGGCCCCAAACAGUGCCCGCUGCUGCCCACCUCCAGCCUGGCCAGAGAUCCCUGGCCUUCCCCGGGGGCUUCUCCAUCCCCACCGAGUGGCCAGGCCAGAUUCUCCUCGGCGCUGAGAUCGGGCCCCGGCUGGGUGCGGCCAGGUUUCUUAUCGGGAGGGGGGCAGCUGACAAAAAGCCCCCCCCGAAUAUCAAGGAAGAUUAGGGGAGGAACGGGACGAAACCCGAAGUGCUCCUGUACUGACCUUUGAGGGGAUCCCUUGGGCGGGCUGCCUUCCAAAAUCACCGUCCUUGAGGGGGUGGGGUGGGGUGGAGGGUCCUGCAUUUAACGCAGAGGGCCCACACCGUCCCACACCCUCGGCCCCCCCCAUGGCCAAGAGCAGGUCUGUGCCGUGCAGCCUUUCAGGGGGGAAGAAGCCCCCCGCAAAGAUCUCACCUUUCCAGCUCCUCUCGGCAGCUGUGGAGGGGGGAAGAGUGGUGGGGGAGAUGGACAGGUUGGCAGAGUGAGCCCUUCCCAUUGAGGGAAGGGCUGGGAAGGCCAGGAGGGAUUGCUCAUGGCUUGGGGAGGGAGCGGCUCCCCCCCCCACGCGUUCCUUUCUCCGUAGGGAUCUGUGCCCCCCCCAAGUGUGGGCUGGAGGUUCUCAGCUGUCUUGCUUCUGCGAGCUGCGGUUCCUUUCCUGGCGGCUUUUCCAGCACCUCCGUCUCCAGGAGCUGGUCCUGGUGGGCAACCCGCUCGUGUGCAGCUGUGGCCUUCGGUGGCUGCAGGUCUGGGAGGAGAGCCGGCAGGCCGAGCUGUCCAGCAACCAGUCCUUGCAGUGCCUGGAGGCGAGCGGCAAGGAGACCCCCCUGAGCGAGAUGCGCCUCCAGGGCUGUGGUGAGGANGGCCCGGGUUCAACACACGGGCCAGGGCCAGGGGGUUCCGGGGCCCCCUCUCAGCCCCACACAACAGCGGAGGGGGGCAGCCACCCAGGGGAGGCGGCUGUGUUCAGCUUUGGGUCCUGCGGCCUGCUGUCUCUUGGGCUGGGCGGGGAUGGCGCCCCCCCGGCCGUUGGCCCUGGACCCUGACGCCUGGCAAGUGGUCCGUAGGGCCUCCCUCUUGCUUCAGCAGGGGCGGGGGGGCGGAGGGUGCCCUCCGGAGGGCCUUGGCCGCCUCCCUUGGGCAAGGAGGGUCCCCUAGCGAAUAGCUGUGGGCGAGAAAGGGGUCGGCGUGCAGGUGGGGAGGAAUCUCAGCCUCCCGUGGCCUUCCUUGCAGGACCAUCUCCAAGACCCACCUGCAGUUCAUCUCCCCCGACGCCUUCCAGGCCAGCCUGAACCUGACGCACGUGUGAGUAGCCAUCGCUCUGUCCGGGGGGGGGGGUCUCUCUCAGGGGGAGCCGAGCCUUUUGAGCCCUUCUGCGCCUUUGGGGGCCUGCUGCUCCGACAUGCCCCCCUCCCUUGCUUGCUGUGCCUCCCCUGCUCCCAGAGCCCUCGUCCUCCCCCCUCUCCUGCCACAGCCAUCGCCCCCACCUGCCUGCCCUGAAGUGGGAAGUUGUUAAUCACAGUUAGCGUUCAUUUCCCUUCGACAGAGUGUUAUCGAUGGGCGGGGGGGGCUAUUACCCCCUCUCUCCCUUCCCAGCCUGGCCCUCCACCCUCACCAUAGGAUGCCCCCACACCAACGGCUGGUUGCGGUGGGUCAGCUCUUGGUGGUGGUGAGCCAUCGCCCCCACCUGCCUGCCCUGAAGUGGGAAGUUGUUAAUCACAGUUAGCGUUCAUUUCCCUUCGACAGAGUGUUAUCGAUGGGCGGGGGGGGCUAUUACCCCCUCUCUCCCUUCCCAGCCUGGCCCUCCACCCUCACCAUAGGAUGCCCCCACACCAACGGCUGGUUGCGGUGGGUCAGCUCUUGGUGGUGGUGUGGU